Molecule: ribosomal RNA, 440 nt
Filed under: uncultured Pseudonocardia sp.
Lineage: Bacteria; Bacillati; Actinomycetota; Actinomycetes; Pseudonocardiales; Pseudonocardiaceae
Description: bacterial SSU rRNA
Rfam family: Bacterial small subunit ribosomal RNA
Source: RNAcentral
ACGGAAGGCAGCAGUGGGGAAUAUUGCGCAAUGGGCGGAAGCCUGACGCAGCGACGCCGCGUGGGGGAUGACGGCCUUCGGGUUGUAAACCUCUUUCGGCCCCGACGAAGCGUGAGUGACGGUAGGGGUAGAAGAAGCACCGGCCAACUACGUGCCAGCAGCCGCGGUAAUACGUAGGGUGCGAGCGUUGUCCGGAAUUAUUGGGCGUAAAGAGCUCGUAGGCGGUCUGUCGCGUCGGUCGUGAAAACUUGGGGCUUAACCCUGAGCUUGCGGUCGAUACGGGCAUGACUGGAGUUCGGCAGGGGAGACUGGAAUUCCUGGUGUAGCGGUGAAAUGCGCAGAUAUCAGGAGGAACACCGGUGGCGAAGGCGGGUCUCUGGGCCGAUACUGACGCUGAGGAGCGAAAGCGUGGGGAGCGAACAGGAUUAGAUACCCUGGUA